GCCAAGGGCAGUGGUGUGCACCUGUGGUGCCAGCUACUUAGGAGGCUGAGGCAGGAGGAUCACUUGAGCUCAGGAGCUAUGAGCUGUAGUGCAUUGUGCCAGUUGGGCAUCUGCACUAAAUUUAGCAUCAAUAUGGUGACCUCCCGGGAGUCAGAGACCACCAGGUUGCCUGAGGGAGGUGUGAACCUACCCAGGUCAGAACUGGAGCAGAUCAAGACUCUCAUGCUGAUCAGUAGGGGAAUCUCACCUGUGAAUAGCCAUUGCAUUCCAGCCUGACAAACACAGACCCCAUCUCA
Colobus angolensis palliatus is the source of this 296-nucleotide unclassified non-coding RNA. It matches the Rfam family "Metazoan signal recognition particle RNA". From Rfam's summary of the family: The signal recognition particle (SRP) is a universally conserved ribonucleoprotein. The record is from Ensembl. NCBI's taxonomy places the organism in Eukaryota, Metazoa, Chordata, Mammalia, Primates, Cercopithecidae.